This 254-nucleotide ribosomal RNA is filed under the name uncultured bacterium. Its description in RNAcentral is "partial 16S ribosomal RNA". It matches the Rfam family "Bacterial small subunit ribosomal RNA", at positions 524 to 776 of the family's 1533-position model. The record is from RNAcentral.
UACGUAGGGGGCGAGCGUUGUCCGGAAUUAUUGGGCGUAAAGAGCUCGUAGGCGGCUUGGCAAGUCGGAUGUGAAAACUCCAGGCUCAACCUGGAGCCGCCAUUCGAUACUGCUAUGGCUAGAGUCCGGUAGGGGAGUGUGGAAUUCCCGGUGUAGCGGUGAAAUGCGCAGAUAUCGGGAGGAACACCGAUGGCGAAGGCAGCACUCUGGGCCGGCACUGACGCUGAGACGCGAAAGCGUGGGGAGCAAACAGG